CCAAGUAGAAGAAACUUCAGGGAAUGCAAAUUAAAUGGAUAUAAGAGGCAAAACAAUAAAGGCAAGGAGAGGAAUUGGUAGAGUCAGGGCAUAGUUACAAUGGCCUCAUCUUCUGCUCAAGGAGAGUAUCUGAAGUGGGCAUCAAACCCUGGGGAAAGCUGGUGUUGUUGAUUCGAUAUGUGAACACUUGGACUCUUUCAUGGCUGGAUCAAAAUUUUUCUCAGAAGAAUAGAUAGGUA
This 239-nucleotide long non-coding RNA is filed under the name Cyanistes caeruleus (blue tit). RNAcentral's name for it is "lncRNA (ENSCCEG00000022730.1)". Lineage: Eukaryota; Metazoa; Chordata; Aves; Passeriformes; Paridae. The record is from RNAcentral.